GGGAUAGCCACUGGAAACGGUGAUUAAUACCGGAUACUCCUUCUUGUUAUAAGACAAGUCGGGAAAGUUUUUCGCUAAGGGAUCAGUCUAUGUUCCAUCAGCUUGUUGGUGAGGUAAUGGCUCACCAAGGCUAUGACGGAUAUCUGGUUUGAGAGGAUGAUCAGACACACUGGAACUGAGACACGGUCCAGACUCCUACGGGAGGCAGCAGUGAGGAAUAUUGCACAAUGGAGGAAACUCUGAUGCAGCAACGCCGCGUGGAGGAUGACGCAUUUCGGUGUGUAAACUCCUUUUAUUAGGGAAGAUAAUGACGGUACCUAAUGAAUAAGCACCGGCUAACUCCGUGCCAGCAGCCGCGGUAAUACGGAGGGUGCAAGCGUUACUCGGAAUCACUGGGCGUAAAGGGUGCGUAGGCUGGCUUUUAAGUCAGAUGUGAAAUCCAAUGGCUCAACCAUUGAACUGCAUUUGAAACUGAAAGCCUAGAGUUCAGAAGGGGCAGAUGGAAUUAGUGGUGUAGGGGUAAAAUCCGUAGAUAUCACUAGGAAUAUCAAAAGCGAAGGCGAUCUGCUGGGAUGAUACUGACGCUG
This 587-nucleotide ribosomal RNA is filed under the name uncultured bacterium. RNAcentral's name for it is "bacterial SSU rRNA". It matches the Rfam family "Bacterial small subunit ribosomal RNA", at positions 140 to 748 of the family's 1533-position model. The record is from RNAcentral.